GAUGAACGCUGGAGCUGAAAAGUAACACAUGCAAGUCGAGCGAUUUACUUCGGUAAAGAGCGGCGGACGGGUGAGUAACGCGUGGGUAACUUGCCCCUGUACACGCGGAUAACAUACCGAAAGGUAUGCUAAUACUAGAUAAUAUGCUUUUAUCGCAUGGUAGAACUAUCAAAGCUUUUGCGGUACAGGAUGGACCCGCUUCUGAUUAUCUAGUUGGUGAGGUAACGGCUCACCAAGGCGACCAUCAGUAUCCGACCUGAUAGGGUGAUCGGCCACUUUGUAACUGAGACACGGCCCAAACUCCGACGGGAGGCAUAAGGGGGGAACAUUGCAUUUUCUUGCGAAAGCCUGAUGCAGCCACGCCGCGUGAGCGACGAAUGGCUUCGGGUGGGGAACUUCUGUCCUCCCGGAAGAUAAUGACCUUACUUGAGGAGGAAGCCCCGGAUAACUA
Molecule: ribosomal RNA, 451 nt
Filed under: uncultured bacterium
Lineage: Bacteria
Description: bacterial SSU rRNA
Rfam family: Bacterial small subunit ribosomal RNA
Source: RNAcentral